Molecule: ribosomal RNA, 502 nt
Filed under: uncultured bacterium
Lineage: Bacteria
Description: partial 16S ribosomal RNA
Rfam family: Bacterial small subunit ribosomal RNA
Source: RNAcentral
AUUGAACGCUGGCGGCAUGCUUUACACAUGCAAGUCGAGCGGCAGCGCGGGGGCAACCCUGGCGGCGAGCGGCGAACGGGUGAGUAACGCAUCGGAACGUAUCCUGGAGUGGGGGAUAACCCAGCGAAAGUUGGGCUAAUACCGCAUGAGCUCUGAGGAGGAAAGCGGGGGACCUGCAAGGGCUCCGCGCUGCAGGAGCGGCCGAUGUCCGAUUAGCUAGUUGGUGAGGUAAAGGCUCACCAAGGCGACGAUCGGUAGCUGGUCUGAGAGGAUGAUCAGCCACACUGGGACUGAGACACGGCCCAGACUCCUACGGGAGGCAGCAGUGGGGAAUUUUGGACAAUGGGGGCAACCCUGAUCCAGCCAUGCCGCGUGAGUGAAGAAGGCCUUCGGGUUGUAAAGCUCUUUCGGACGGAACGAAAUGGUCACGGUCAAUACCCGUGACUGAUGACGGUACCGUAAGAAGAAGCACCGGCUAACUACGUGCCAGCAGCCGCCGUAA